Molecule: ribosomal RNA, 645 nt
Filed under: uncultured bacterium
Lineage: Bacteria
Description: bacterial SSU rRNA
Rfam family: Bacterial small subunit ribosomal RNA
Source: RNAcentral
GGGGGAAACCCUGAUGCAGCGACGCCGCGUGGAGGAAGAAGGUCUUCGGAUUGUAAACUCCUGUUGUUGAGGAAGAUAAUGACGGUACUCAACAAGGAAGUGACGGCUAACUACGUGCCAGCAGCCGCGGUAAAACGUAGGUCACAAGCGUUGUCCGGAAUUACUGGGUGUAAAGGGAGCGCAGGCGGGAAGACAAGUUGGAAGUGAAAUCUAUGGGCUCAACCCAUAAACUGCUUUCAAAACUGUUUUUCUUGAGUAGUGCAGAGGUAGGCGGAAUUCCCGGUGUAGCGGUGGAAUGCGUAGAUAUCGGGAGGAACACCAGUGGCGAAGGCGGCCUACUGGGCACCAACUGACGCUGAGGCUCGAAAGUGUGGGUAGCAAACAGGAUUAGAUACCCUGGUAGUCCACACCGUAAACGAUGAUUACUAGGUGUUGGAGGAUUGACCCCUUCAGUGCCGCAGUUAACACAAUAAGUAAUCCACCUGGGGAAGUACGACCGCAAGGUUGAAACUCAAAGGAAUUGACGGGGGCCCGCACAAGCAGUGGAGUAUGUGGUUUAAUUCGACGCAACGCGAAGAACCUUACAAGUCCUUGACAUCCCCUUGACGAUGCUGGAAACAGCAUUUCUCUUCGGAGCAAGGAGAC